UUUGAGAUGCAAUAUAAGUGUCACGUUAGAAUAGUGACAGAUCGGAGAACCCACAUGGGUUUAGGGAUUGUGAUAGAUAUAGAAUCCAUGUAUGUGUUUAAGCAUAAUUCCUUGUUUAAGAAGGCUCCUUAUAGAUAGGGAUAAUGGUCGGCAUGGGAAACCCAAACUGGUUUAAGGAUAGGUAAAGUAAUGUAAGCAUAACCUAGCUAAGAU
Molecule: long non-coding RNA, 213 nt
Filed under: Lathyrus oleraceus (garden pea)
Lineage: Eukaryota; Viridiplantae; Streptophyta; Magnoliopsida; Fabales; Fabaceae
Description: Pisum sativum (pea) long non-coding RNA (PSAT_LNC000102)
Source: RNAcentral